This is a non-coding RNA of Acanthosepion pharaonis, 111 nucleotides long. Lineage: Eukaryota; Metazoa; Mollusca; Cephalopoda; Sepiida; Sepiidae. The record is from the annotation of a GenBank genome assembly.
UAUGGCCACAUCACAUUGAAACACAGGUUCCUGUAUGAUCACCAAAGUUAAGCCAUGUCAAGCCUGGUUGGUACCUAGAUGGGCGACUGCUUGGAAAUGCCAGUGCUGUAA